This is a long non-coding RNA of Manis pentadactyla (Chinese pangolin), 4571 nucleotides long. RefSeq lists it as uncharacterized. Lineage: Eukaryota; Metazoa; Chordata; Mammalia; Pholidota; Manidae. The transcript is spliced from 2 exons. The record is from RefSeq and is a predicted model, not a curated record.
CGGCGGGAGAGGGCGGGGAGCGACGGGGAGCGGCGGGGUCCAGCGUCGCCCUUGCGAACCCUGAGGACCCGCGUGCGCCCUCCGCCGUGGGAAAGGGGUCGCCGGCGCGCGCGUCCCGGAGCUGGGGCGGCCCCUCCCUCCCAAAGCCCCUCGCCCGUCCCGCUCACGGCGCCACCCCCUCCCCGCCCCGCGACCCCGGCCAGUGCUCCCAACGGUCCCCCUCCGCGCUGACGCCGCCGCCGCUGCUGCCGGGCCAGCCGGAGCCGCAGCCGGAGCGGUAGUGGAAGCCGGAGCCGGCGGGCCGAGGGCGGCGCGCUCCAGCCGGGGCCGAGCGCCGUGCCGGGGCCGCGGUGACCGCGCCGCCCGGCCGAUGCCCGCGGGGACGCCGCCGGCCGCCAGAGCGAGAGCCCCGAGCCCUGGCGAGCCAGACUCCCACUGAAGACACCCGGGAACAGCUUCAAGCGUCAGCCCGGCACCCCGACGGCCAGCGUGAGCUCUGCCACCACUUACCUGUUUGUGGCCCAUUUCAAGCUGCCAACAGAAAGCCAUUGAGCACAGAGAUGGAGACGGGCCCAGAACUCAGCAUGAGCAGCUCCUGGCCCUGCUGGGGAGGGAUCUAUAGGGUGCUGGGGGAGGCAGAUUCGGGUUGUGGCUUGGGAGUAGUCAGAGAUUGGGACAAGAUCCAGUGUGACAACUGGGUGGAGAUCUGUGGGAUCCUGGGGAAGGGUCAGGCCUCACUGUAGCCCCCCGACUCACUCUAUAAGCACAGUGGUCAGGUUACCGGAGGCAGAUCAGUGAAGCUCCUAGGCUCCAGGGGUCCCUUCAUGGAAGAGUAUAGACACAGCCCACUCCCUUAACACGGCAGCCGGCCCCCUCAGGACUGGACCAGGCUGGGAAGGCCCCACCUGGCCCGCAGAAGGACCUCCCACCUGGGACCCCAGCUGCUCACUGCAGGGAUGGCCGGGCGUGUCCCAGGGAGGGGCCUGGGGCCCAGUUCCGGACUCCAGUCCACCCCUGUCCCCCCAUGGCCCUGAGACUCCCAGGCUCUGCCCACUUUUCACUUCCCCAGGACUGCCAGUCUGCUGUCUGUGGAACUGGCUCUGGGUGCACACCUUCCACACAGCCCAGCCAGCCCUGGAGCGCUCUCCCUGGCUCCUGCCACUCAACCUCAGGGUGAAGGAAAGCCCACCCCUCCUGUGGACAAAGGAGGUUGGCUGGCCCUUAGUUUGCCCCAGGGGCCUGAGGCCUCUCCAGUUGCUGGUCUGGGCAGGGGUUAGGGCCUACUUGGGGACCCCAGGACCUGAAAAGGCUCUGGCAAGGUCACUGCCAGCCUGGGCUUCCCCACCUGCAAAGUGGCUCUGGGAGAGAGCUGCAGGAGGCAAUAGACAUGUGGCACCUUGAAGGGUAGACCCCUUAGGUAGCAGCCCGGGAAGGGCACACACUCAGGACAGAGGAAGGUGGUGUAGGGCCUGCAGAGGCAGUGUCAUUGAUUAAUUAGGAGGGUCUUGUUCGUUUCCUUAGGAUGGUGGCAUUCACAAGAUAGCAGUAAAACUUCUUCACAGUGGGCAAAAUCUUACUCAGAUACUUGGUGAACUUGCGUUUGUUUUUGCUAUUUCUGCACUGCAUAGUGUAACAACGAUGAUAGCACACUGUGGGGAAUAAGAGAGGCGGGGGAUUUCAACAUGAGCCGAGCCCCCAGCAAAGCCUCUCACCUAUUCUCUGCCUCUGGCCGCAUCGCCUCCUCCAGCUCUGCCCCCUGAACAAAGCCCCUCACCUCUUCUUCCCUGCCUCUGGCAGCAUCGCUUCCUUCUUGGGUUAUUUCUUAGUCUCUGGCGGCAGCAUCUGCUCUGCUUAUGACUGCAAUGUGUAUAUCUGGCCAUUGUGCCGGGUGGAUUUGGUCUGUGUGCUCAGAGCAGGAGGUACCACCUUAGCUGAGCCAGCCAACCUGUAAGCAGGUGUGGAAUAUGAGCCAGGGGCUGGCUCCUGGGCCUCUUAUAGACACCGGAGCCCCCUGGGCCUUAUGAGGUCACAGAGGCCAGCCAGAGCAGACCCAUCUUGUGCCCACAUAUGGGCAUGUGGGAGGCCCUUGGUGGGCAGGGCGGGGCCGUGAUGCCCAGGGUCCUCCACAUCACCAGCUGAGGAGAGACCAGCUGGCCUUCCUGUACAGGGCAAUCUCUCACUCAUCCAGGGAGCUCUCAAGUAAAGUAUUAUUGAGCACUGACUGUGGGCCAGGGUCUGGGGGAGGCCCUGGCAUACAGUGAUAAAUAAGGCAGACAUAUUCUGCCUGAUAAAGUUUAGACUCUAACUUGAGGAAACAUGAAUGAAAUAACAGCACAGAAUAACUGUGUCAGGAAGAAGGCCCUCCAGGGCUGGUACAGAGGUGCCACCCUCAUCAAGGGCCCCGCUUCUUUGGUCUUCCAGUUCUGUCCUCAGCACGUGCUUUCCAUCCUCAAGGUUGCCUCAUAAUCCAAACUCUCGCCUGCCGUGCACAGUCGUACAGUUCUGUCCUGCCCAAAGCUUUGAGCCAAGGGACUGAGUGGGGACUGAAAUCCAGCCUGGGCUCUGCCCGUCGAGUCAGGCCCAGCACCCAUAGACGUGUUGCUGCACACAGCAGUGUUUUAGCUAAUUCACCUGCUCAGUGUCUGCGAAAAAUGUUAAUGAAGAGGAGUUAGAAGUUGCGGGUUAAGUCAACUAUUUAACUUGAAUCUAGCUGAAAAACAAGUAAGACUCAAACAGGAAAGAGAGGAUAGCAAAAGACAUAAUAUAAAUAAGGCUUAUUUAGGAUAUCAAAGAGAAUACCAAACCUAAUGGACUGAAGGAUUGGUGAGAAGGAGAAUUAAAAGUCCAUUGGUUCCAAAUCAUGGUGUUCUUAAAGGUCACCGAGGACUUCGGACUUCAUCCUGUACACAACGGAAACCCUGUUUUUUUUCUUAGUAUAAGAAUAAUAUGAAGAAACAAGUGUGAUGAAGAUUAAUUUGUCAGUUGAAAGAAAGAAGUGCAAUUGCUGUGAUCUUGAAGUAUUGAUCAAAUACUAUCAUUCAGACCUGAGGAGCCUGGACCGGAGUGGUGGAUAUAAGGCAGGAAACAACAAAAAAGUCAAUAGACAGAAUGGAUUAUGUGAAGGAAAAAAAGAAAAGCCCAAGACUGCCAGAGUUCCAAUCAGCAGGUCAUGGCAACUGGACUUCCUUAAAUUUUAGGGCUAAUUAAAACCUAACUUUUAUAGCAGGUAUGUUUUAGAAAUUUUACUAAACUUCUACAAAUUACCUGGUUCUGAUGUUAGUUCAAAAAAUCAAAGUGUGACUUUUCCCUAAUCGAACUGUGUGACUCUGGUAAUUCAAAAUCAUGACAUAAUGAUUAAGAAAGUUGUUUCUGAAAUAUUUUUCUGUGUCUAUUUCUUCUUUUGUGCUUUUAGUCUAUAUGUUCCUGCUAAGGAUUCCUGAACGUGUCUUAUGUUUUCAGUCUAAUUAUCUUGGAAUUCUUGAAUAAGACCAUAAAACUCCUUUCAUUUUCUGUUGUUCUUUUUGUCAUUUGAGAGAACUUUGUCUCUCCUAGCUAUUAUAUAAAAAACAUUAAUUACAUAUCUCCUCUAUGGCAGGGUCUAAGAUCACAAAUACAACUAAGAAGUGGCCCUGUGAUGACCACACAGACUAGAGGGAAUAGGAAGUGUUCUCAUCACCCAGGGCUACAUAACCAACCCACUGCCGAACAUACUGUCUCAAAACAACAUUUAUUUAUUAUUUGACUCAUGAAACUGCAAUUUGGGCAGGAUUUGGCAAAGUCUGACUCCACUGACAUCAGCUAGGCUGCUCCAAAAUUGGACAUGAAACAUUUAAAGGCUCCACUAAUCAAAUGACAGUGGUUGACGUUCAGUGAUAUCACAUUGGUAGUUUGCAAUUGGCCAUGGUGGGAGAAUGGAAAUCAGCAAAGCCUGCAAAUCAGGGUUAGCUAUUGAUUGCUUGAUGGGCUGACUGACUGAUUGGAGAGCGUAUUGUUAAACAUUUAAACACCCCCACUGAAUGACUGGAACCAACUAUUUAGAAAUUGCAACUAAAAAUUCUCAGAUGCAAAACUAUGAAUGGCAAAUGCACUAAUGAAUUUUUUAAAUGUUAUUUGGAAUUGAACAAAACAAGUUAUUCUGGCUUUCCAAAAAAAUGCUCUUUAAAAACCACCUCUUACUUGCAACUGUUAUUGUAUGUGUGUAUUUGUACAUUAUACAUGUAAAUAUGCACUUGAAAUACUUAGACAUGUUUAUACAAAGUACAUCUUAUCCUUUUUCCCCUUUUUCCUUGGUGUUCCAAGAAGUGAAAAUAAUAACUUUUGCUAAACUUAACUCAUCUACCUCAGGGUAUCUAGAAAUUGUUAUGUGGCUCUGGUUUUCAGCAGUAUUGUAAAUUUUCAUUUUUCAUUUCUGUCUUUAUAGGUUUUUAUUGAGCAGUGGGGGGAAGUUGCACUGGAAGCCUCUAGCCAGAUGCCAUUUCAAUUGUCACAUAACUAGCAAGCCCUUUUGCAUCUUUUAAAUCUAAGGAAAAUCUUUGAAUAAGGCAAGCAUAUUAAAUUUUAAUUUAGGUUCA